Mya arenaria is the source of this 456-nucleotide long non-coding RNA. RefSeq lists it as uncharacterized. Lineage: Eukaryota; Metazoa; Mollusca; Bivalvia; Myida; Myidae. The transcript is spliced from 5 exons. The record is from RefSeq and is a predicted model, not a curated record.
UGCAUGUACCAUAAACUUAAUCAUGUAUCUUUCUCAGCAAAAGGCCACCGGAGUUUUCAAGAUGAUUGAGAUGCGCAAACUAGCAGACACCUGAGGAAGUGGACAUUCUUGUAGUCCCUGAUUAUGUUAUCCGAAGACUCUUAAGCCAGAUGGGUGGUACUGAAGUAUGUCAUUGUCUCCAGACGCAGUUAUUCUUUGUGCAGAUGGGUAGUUGCACACAUCAUUGAAUAAAAACACCAUGCCAUCAGACACUGAUGAAGAUGAUAGUGACACAGAAUGGCAGCCACCAAAAAAGCAACUAUUUGCUGCUAUUGGAAGUGAUAGUGAGGAAUCUGAUAGUGAUGAUACCCAUUAAAGAAGAAAGUGAAAUUUGGGAAAGAGAACACCAUGGGGUGCGGAUGAAAAAGCUGCAGUGAAUCAAGCUUUGAGUAAAUGCUUCAAACUUCAAAUAUUACC